AUCCUGGCUCAGGAUGAACGCUGGCGGCGUGCCUAACACAUGCAAGUCGAGCGGGAUUUUCCGGAUUGAAGCUUCGGAUGAUGGAUUGAUUGACUGAGUGGCGGACGGGUGAGUAACGCGUGGGUAACCUGCCUCAUACAGGGGGAUAACAGUUAGAAAUGACUGCUAAUACCGCAUAAGCGCACAGUACCGCAUGGUACGGUGUGAAAAACUCCGGUGGUAUGAGAUGGACCCGCGUCUGAUUAGCUAGUUGGUGGGGUAACGGCCUACCAAGGCGACGAUCAGUAGCCGACCUGAGAGGGUGACCGGCCACAUUGGGACUGAGACACGGCCCAAACUCCUACGGGAGGCAGCAGUGGGGAAUAUUGCACAAUGGGCGAAAGCCUGAUGCAGCGACGCCGCGUGAACGAAGAAGUAUUUCGGUAUGUAAAGUUCUAUCAGCAGGGAAGAAAAUGACGGUACCUGACUAAGAAGCACCGGCUAAAUACGUG
RNAcentral lists this ribosomal RNA (491 nucleotides) under uncultured bacterium. Its description in RNAcentral is "bacterial SSU rRNA". It matches the Rfam family "Bacterial small subunit ribosomal RNA", at positions 16 to 507 of the family's 1533-position model. The record is from RNAcentral.